Toxorhynchites rutilus septentrionalis is the source of this 2702-nucleotide RNA transcript. It is a transcript of the gene named OTU domain-containing protein 5-B, with no coding region annotated. NCBI's taxonomy places the organism in Eukaryota, Metazoa, Arthropoda, Insecta, Diptera, Culicidae. The transcript is spliced from 7 exons. The record is from RefSeq and is a predicted model, not a curated record.
UCGUUUGACUCGUUUCUUUGUGUAGCUCGUUUGCGUAGUCUGAAAACGUAAAUAUUUUCCUUUUUUUAUAUAUGUGGAAUAGCGAAUCAGUACUAAAGCACUUUGAUGCUUUCUUAUGUCGUUGUGUCAUUUGCGAAAAAUCAUUAGAAAAGUGUGGAAGAGUGUAAAAGUUCCCGUGGAAACGUAGUAAGCGGUGCUGAAAAUCUCGGAAAAAGUCCGUGCUGCUGGUUGCAAUCAUGACGAUUAAACCAGUGGUGAACCAGAAGAUUUCGAAGGACGACAGCCAGGAGAGUAGUUCCCAGAACCUCGUGAAUAACGGCACAGUGGUCCGCAAUGCACACCGGAAUGUUGUUUUAAAUCAGCUGUCUACGUCAGAAAAUCAACCACUUCCGAGGGAAAAACGAGUGCACACUCCGCAUAAUUUCGACAGCGAAAAUGUUCGUCACAGAAGGAGCCCCCACAAGAAUAUUGGUCGCCCAAAGCGCGAUCAUCACCAUAAAAGAGAGACCCGCGAGCGUGACAAAAACGCUUCGCCUAACUAUCAGGUGGUCAUCCCUCCGGUGAACAGUAAAAAGCAAUCGACAUCAUCAUGUUCGAGUCCUCUGGGAAACGCAGGAGGUCGUUCGCCCAAGAAUACGCUUCCCUCAACUUGCAAUCUCAAUUUGAACACCGGCAGCAGUGGAAAUAAUCCGAUUACGGCAACGAUUGAGGAGGCUCUCUCUGGGUACAACAGCGGCGAUGAACACGUUGGCCAGAAAGAUGCCCAGCUCAGUCCCGACGAGUGGAAGGAGCGUGAUGAGGCAUUUGGGAAGAUUAUGUCCGAGCGCGGGUUGAUCAUCAAGGAUAUGGAAGAAGACGGUGCCUGCCUAUUUCGUGCAAUUUCGUUACAAAUUUAUGGCGAUCAGGAUAUGCAUGAAAUUAUUAGACAACAAACAAUGGACUAUAUUUACCAAAAUCGUGAAUAUUUUGCACAGUUUGUAACUGAGGAUAUAAAUAAUUACGUUGCUAGGAAAAGAGCGAAUCACGUACAUGGAAAUCAUAUAGAGAUUCAAGCAAUGUCUGAAAUGUACAACCGCUCAGUAGAACUGUAUUGUUAUCAACUUGAGCCAAUCAACAUUUUUAAUUCCGAUCAAAUUAAUAAUGGAAAUGAGCCUUUACGAUUAUCCUAUCAACGGGGUUCGCACUAUAAUGCAAUCAUGGACCCGUACAAGGCAUCAGUAGGGGUCGGUCUAGGUUUGGCUGGUUAUAGACCUGACGAAGUGGACAUCAAGCAAGUUGCUGACGCAGUACGAAUGAGUGAAGAACUGGAAAUCGAGCAAACCAUGUUUGAAGAUAAGUUGAAAACCACCGAUUGGGAGGCCACGAAUGAGGCCAUAGAGGAGCAAAUAGCGAGAGAAUCGUAUCUGCAGUGGUGUCGUGAUAAUAUGCGCGAGAACACCGGCAAGAAUAGUAAAAGUACGAGUACCAUUACCUCCAGCGAAGUAAGCAUGGGAGGGGGAGGUUGCAGUAGUGCUGCGGCCUGUGCAGAAAAAUCCCCCAAACAUAGUUUAGACGCUGCAACAUCGUACUCGGAGUCCUUGCUACGCGAGUUUCGAAAAUCUACGUCUCCCUCGUCUUCAAACCUAUCCUUCAACCAGGGAAGCUGUUCUUCCAGUUCAAAAGGCAAUUCGUUCGAAUUGGAUGGUUCUCUGCCGGAAACCUCAUGUUCAGUACAAUACUUUUUCAACAAUUGCAACAGAAGAAAGAAAAGGAAUCUGAAUUCACCAAUCCGGAGUUGUCACAUCGGGACAUCAGUAAGAUGCUCGGAAUCGUCCAAUCCACGGUCAGCAGAGUACUAAAACGAUACUUCGAGAACCUAACCAUCGACCGGAAGGUGAAGAACGGCAAAAAUGGAUGCUCCGUCCGGGAUGUCGCCAAUAAGCUGAAUUUGUCAAGUUCAUUCGUCCAGCGGACCAAGCAGCGGGAGGGCCUGUGUACAUACAAGGUUCAGAAGGCUCCUAACCACGACGAAAGGCAAAACAGGGUGGGGAAGACGCGAGCCUGGGAGCUGUACACCGAAAUGCUGACGAAGCCGCAUUGCCUGGUAAUGGACGACGAAACCUACGUCAAAGCGGACUUUCGUCAGCUGCCGGGCCUGUUGUUCUUCUCCGCAGUGGACAAAUUCAGCGAUCCGGAGGAGAUUCGCAAGCAGAAACUAUCCAAGUUUGCCAAAAAGUACAUGGUGUGGCAAGCGAUCUGCUCUUGUGGAAAGCGGAGCGCCCCCUUCGUGAUGACCGGCACGGUAAACGGGCAGGUUUACCUUAAGGAGUGCCUACAGAAGUGCUUACUACCGCUAUUGAAGCAGCACGAGGUCCCGACCAUCUUCUGGCCGGAUCUCGCUUCGUGCCACUAUUCAAAGGAAGUGUUGGAGUGGUACGAAGCCAACGGGGUCACCUUCGUGCCAAAGGAAAUGAACCCGCCCAACGCGCCGGAGCUUCGCCCAAUAGAGAAAUAUUGGGCGAUUAUGAAGCAGGCCCUCCGGAAGAACCCAAAAGUUGUCAAAUCGGAAGCGGACUUCAAGAGAAAAUAGAUUUCUGUUGAAAAAAAAAGACGGAGUGGACAAACCUAACUCGGAAGUACUAAUUUUGAAAAAAUCAAAAUUAACGACCAAUCGCCCGUCGGAAACCGAAGCUGGCAAUGUAGCGAGCACCUCCGGUGGUGCG